Molecule: transfer RNA, 73 nt
Filed under: Camelus bactrianus (Bactrian camel)
Lineage: Eukaryota; Metazoa; Chordata; Mammalia; Artiodactyla; Camelidae
Also listed under: 3 other names
Rfam family: tRNA
About the family: Transfer RNA (tRNA) molecules are approximately 80 nucleotides in length. Their secondary structure includes four short double-helical elements and three loops (D, anti-codon, and T loops).
Source: Rfam by way of RNAcentral
GAGCGUAUAGCUCAGUGGUAGAGUGCGUGCUGAGCACGCACGGGGGUCCUGGGUUCAAUCCCCAGCACCUCCA